UUUUCCAUCCGUCGACGGUUUCCAUCUUUUUGCCUUCAUUUCUUUCAUUCUCCUUCAAUGGAGAUUUAUCGAUUUCAUUCUCCAUUUUUCACAGUUUCGAGCACCACAUUAUGCUCAGAAUGCCAAAAACCCAACCAUUCUCGGAAAGGAUUUCUGAGUACAUGAUAGGGAACUCAACGACGUUAUAAUCCAAGACGAGGGGAACACGCCGCACGGGCAGCCCGAACCUCCUGCAACAGCCAAUGUCGAGGCAUGCCGCAAGGACGAAAGAGGUGCAACAACCAAAGAAGGAUCGCCCCCAAGCCGCCUCGCUACCGUGACUUCACGUGACAUUAGAGAUAGCAGAUCUUUUAUUAUUUGUUGCCUUAUUUAAUUUCCCUAUUUUUGGAUAUUUUUGCUUAGAAUAUUAUUAUUAAAUCU
Long non-coding RNA from Salvia splendens (bonfire salvia), 420 nucleotides. RefSeq lists it as uncharacterized. Lineage: Eukaryota; Viridiplantae; Streptophyta; Magnoliopsida; Lamiales; Lamiaceae. The transcript is spliced from 2 exons. The record is from RefSeq and is a predicted model, not a curated record.